CCUACGGGCGGCUGCAGUGGGGAAUAUUGGACAAUGGGGGGAACCCUGAUCCAGCCAUGCCGCGUGUGUGAAGAAGGCCCUCGGGUUGUAAAGCACUUUCAGUGAGGAAGAACGCCUGGUGGUUAAUACCCAUCAGGAAAGACAUCACCCACAGAAGAAGCACCGGCUAACUCCGUGCCAGCAGCCGCGGUAAUACGGAGGGUGCGAGCGUUAAUCGGAAUUACUGGGCGUAAAGCGCGCGUAGGUGGCUUGAUAAGCCGGUUGUGAAAGCCCCGGGCUCAACCUGGGAACGGCAUCCGGAACUGUCAAGCUAGAGUGCAGGAGAGGAAGGUAGAAUUCCCGGUGUAGCGGUGAAAUGCGUAGAGAUCGGGAGGAAUACCAGUGGCGAAGGCGGCCUUCUGGACUGACACUGACACUGAGGUGCGAAAGCGUGGGUAGCAAACAGGAUUAGAUACCCCAGUAGUC
RNAcentral lists this ribosomal RNA (465 nucleotides) under Vreelandella stevensii. RNAcentral describes it as "partial 16S ribosomal RNA". It matches the Rfam family "Bacterial small subunit ribosomal RNA", at positions 338 to 795 of the family's 1533-position model. Lineage: Bacteria; Pseudomonadati; Pseudomonadota; Gammaproteobacteria; Oceanospirillales; Halomonadaceae. The record is from RNAcentral.